RNAcentral lists this long non-coding RNA (2108 nucleotides) under Zostera marina. Its description in RNAcentral is "long non-coding RNA (ZMAR_LNC002602)". Lineage: Eukaryota; Viridiplantae; Streptophyta; Magnoliopsida; Alismatales; Zosteraceae. The record is from RNAcentral.
UUAACAUAACACUCAACAAGAUCCAUAUGCCCGAGUGGGCAUACACCGAAAACAAAACAAAAUCAAGUGCUAGCGGAAAACAAAUAAAUCCCUAAAUUAAUUCAUAUCCUUGGAUCCCAUUCAUGUGUGAAUCCCUCGGUCCAGUCCAUCCUAUGCUAUCGCUUAUCCUGAAAAAAUAUCAUUCGUGGUAAGUUUCAAAACUUAGUACGUGGAUAUCUAUUAAAUCUAUUAGUUCAUAAAUUCUUCCUUUUCCUUUACAUGGAUCAUCGGUUAACCCUCCCCAUGCCGUCAAACCCCGUCGGGUCAUAUAGCCUCGUCAGGCCCGUUAAGUUCCAUUCGUUCCUUGUAUCGUCAAAUCCCUAAGGAUCCGUAAAUUCGUAUAAUGGCAUAAAAGAAAAUUGGGAGAUCGCAUGGUCUAAUAAAAACCCAAAAUGCACAAAAAAAACCAAAGGUGAUGUAAAACCUUAAAUAAUAAAAUAGUCAGACCCACCUAUCGAUUUUAUUGAUUAAAAUCGAUUCGAUGAGCGUCCCAUGUAGGUGUCCGAGCCUUAAGCAAGUGCUUCUAUAGCCCUAGGGCAGCGUGAAUCCUGAACUUGGGAUCUUAUGGAGUAAAAUCCGCGAUUUUGGUCCCGUGUUCUUAAGGAUUCGUUGCUGUCCAGCAGCUCUUAUGUGCCUGAAAUUAACAUGGAAACUAGAGCAUCAAACAUGCAUAACCUAGGAGAAAAGGAACUUGCAACUUCGUUGCUGUCCAGCAGCGUUUGUGCGCCUGAAAACAACACAAGAUGGAUUAUAAAACCAACAUCCAUCCGGAAUAAAGACUAGCAACUACGUUGCUGUUCAGUAGCAUUUAUGCGCCUGAAUUAAAACAGAAAUAGCGACGAAAAUCCGCAAUAAUCAGAAAUAAAAACUUGUAAAUUCGCUGCUGUCCAGCCACAUUUAUGCGUAUGAAAACAGCAUGAAAAUAGAGCAUAGGCCAGCAUCAAUCAGGAAUAAAGACAAACAAUUCUGUUACUGUCCAGCAGCAUUUAUGCACCUGAUUCAAACCAGAAAGCAGAGACGAAAACUCGCAAUAAUCCGGAAUAAAAUUUAUCAAGUCAUGGCUGUCCAGCCGUAUUUAUGCGCUUGGAAUCAGCACUAAAACAGAGCAUAAAACCAACAUCAAACGAGAAUAAAGACUUGCAACUCCGUUACUUUCCAUCAACAUUUAUGCGCCCGAAUCAAAACAAAAAUAGAGUAACACCGUAAUAAAACACUAGCGAAAAACUAAAAAUCGGGAAUGAAGACUAGCAUUGAAUAUUGUGAAGAUCCUCUUCACCCCUAAGCCUAGGAGUGUUAACAUGACUACAAUUAUUAAACCGUGGAACACCAAAGACUAGCAUAACAACAACAAAAACGUUACCUUCUUGCACCAUUUCACCUCAUCUCUAUAACAUGACCUUUCAACUACAUAUACUACUAAAAGAAUCUUAUACCCACGUACCUUGAUCACUUCUUUAACCUUUUCUCUUCCCCUUCCAAGCCCUAGCCGAGAUCCUUCCCUUCCUCCUCCUUCAAUUUGCGUUUCCCUCUUCUUUUUCUUUUUCCCUCUUCUCUUCCCCCAAUGUAUUCUCUUAAAUCCUAAUUCCUCUCCUCCAACCGUUCCCCCUCUUUCCUUUUUCUCCUCCUCAAUUACUUCUAAAAAUACAGAAUAUUCUCCCCUUUUUAUUUGACUCAAUUGCCCCUAAUUCAAAAUAUUUAUAUUCUGAAUUUUCUUUGACUUAAUUGUCCCCAAUUUCAAAUCCUAUUUCCAAAUUUCAAAUCCUAUUUCCAAAUUUCAAAUUUAAAGUUUCAAAUUCCCAUUGACUAAAUUACCCCUAAUUUGAAAUCCUAUUUAUUUUCUUGUUUAAUUAACCUUAACCCCUAGUCGACUAGCAUACUUGACUAGCCUAAUUGAUCUUAACCCAACAGGUUAGACCGAGUUGCCUUAUUUUUUGUUAAUUUUUUCCCCAAGGCUGCUCCUGUCGUUAGGGUUUCCUUUUCCUAUUAAGACCCCAAUUUUCAGAAUAUUACAUUCUUUCCCCCUAAAACAAGAAUUUCGUCCUCGAAAUAUUAUUAUGUAAUUGACGUAC